GAUGAACGCUGGCGGCGUGCCUAAUACAUGCAAGUCGAGCGAACAGGCGAGGAGCUUGCUCCUCUGACGUUAGCGGCGGACGGGUGAGUAACACGUGGAUAACCUACCUAUAAGACUGGGAUAACUUCGGGAAACCGGAGCUAAUACCGGAUAAUAUAUUGAACCGCAUGGUUCAAUAGUGAAAGACGGCUUUGCUGUCACUUAUAGAUGGAUCCGCGCCGCAUUAGCUAGUUGGUAAGGUAACGGCUUACCAAGGCAACGAUGCGUAGCCGACCUGAGAGGGUGAUCGGCCACACUGGAACUGAGACACGGUCCAGACUCCUACGGGAGGCAGCAGUAGGGAAUCUUCCGCAAUGGGCGAAAGCCUGACGGAGCAACGCCGCGUGAGUGAUGAAGGUCUUCGGAUCGUAAAACUCUGUUAUUAGGGAAGAACAAAUGUGUAAGUAACUAUGCACGUCUUGACGGUACCUAAUCAGAAAGCCACGGCUAACUACGUG
RNAcentral lists this ribosomal RNA (497 nucleotides) under uncultured bacterium. RNAcentral describes it as "partial 16S ribosomal RNA". It matches the Rfam family "Bacterial small subunit ribosomal RNA", at positions 28 to 507 of the family's 1533-position model. The record is from RNAcentral.